This 494-nucleotide ribosomal RNA is filed under the name uncultured bacterium. RNAcentral's name for it is "partial 16S ribosomal RNA". It matches the Rfam family "Bacterial small subunit ribosomal RNA", at positions 28 to 507 of the family's 1533-position model. The record is from RNAcentral.
GACGAACGCUGGCGGCGUGCUUAACACAUGCGAGUCGAACGGUGAAGCGCCUUCCUUUUUGGUGGGUGUGGAUGAGUGGCGAACGGGUGAGUAACACGUGAGUAACCUGCCCCCUUCUUCUGGAUAACCGCAUGAAAGUGUGGCUAAUACGGGAUAUUCUGGGUCUGUCGCAUGAUGGGUCUGGGAAAGAUAUUGUUUCGGUGGGGGAUGGGCUCGCGGCCUAUCAGCUUGUUGGUGGGGUGAUGGCCUACCAAGGCGGUGAUGGGUAGCCGGCCUGAGAGGGUGGACGGUCACACUGGGACUGAGACACGGCCCAGACUCCUACGGGAGGCAGCAGUGGGGAAUAUUGCACAAUGGGCGCAAGCCUGAUGCAGCGACGCCGCGUGAGGGAUGGAGGCCUUCGGGUUGUGAACCUCUUUCGCCAGUGAAGCAGGCCUGCCUCGUUUGUGGGUGGGUUGACGGUAGCUGGAUAAGAAGCGCCGGCUAACUACGUG